GGCGUGCUUAACACAUGCAAGUCGAACGGAAAGGUCUCUUCGGAGAUACUNGAGUGGCGAACGGGUGAGUAACACGUGGGUAAUCUGCCCUGCACUUCGGGAUAAGCCUGGGAAACUGGGUCUAAUACCGAAUAGGACCCCGAGGCGCAUGCCUUGGGGUGGAAAGCUUUUGCGGUGUGGGAUGGGCCCGCGGCCUAUCAGCUUGUUGGUGGGGUGACGGCCUACCAAGGCGACGACGGGUAGCCGGCCUGAGAGGGUGUCCGGCCACACUGGGACUGAGAUACGGCCCAGACUCCUACGGGAGGCAGCAGUGGGGAAUAUUGCACAAUGGGCGCAAGCCUGAUGCAGCGACGCCGCGUGGGGGAUGACGGCCUUCGGGUUGUAAACCUCUUUCACCAUCGACGAAGGUCCGGGUUUUCUCGGAUUGACGGUAGGUGGAGAAGAAGCACCGGCC
Molecule: ribosomal RNA, 454 nt
Filed under: Mycobacterium sp. BC
Lineage: Bacteria; Bacillati; Actinomycetota; Actinomycetes; Mycobacteriales; Mycobacteriaceae
Description: bacterial SSU rRNA
Rfam family: Bacterial small subunit ribosomal RNA
Source: RNAcentral